ACCGGAAGGAAGGGCGGCCCGCGCGCCCCGAUGCUUCUUGGGGGAUGCAGGCGGCCCCUAUCGGGAAAGGGAGGGGUGAGGGCGCCCCCCCGCCGCCGGGAGCCGGCUCUGAUUGGCGGUGGCGUUUCGGCGGGCUUUUGUUCUCCGCCGGCGCUGUUACCAUGGCGCGGGCGGUUGGUGGCGGCUGGGGGUGAUGGCACCCAGGAAGGGCUGUGCCUGGCGGCGCUUCCUGCCUGCCCGCCCUCAGCCGCGGGCAGCGGGGGCUGUCCCGUGGCGCUGCUUCCUGCGGGCCUCGUGCGGGCGGCAGUGUCGCCCUUGGCCCCUCAAUAGAAACAAAAUCAUCCCUGUAAAUCCGUGUUUGAAACACUGGCCCCGGACGCCUACCAACAUAUGAUAAAUAUUCCCUGAAACCUUGUUUACAAAAAUACGAAUCCCCAUUGUCUCCUUUAAAACAUGUCCCGUCUCACACAUUCAUUAACAUCUUCAGGGUUCUGAAGGGAGAAGCGCCGUCGCCACCCACCAACACGGCCCUGCUGCCUGUAUUUACAGUGUCAUCCAUCCAAAUGCAUUCUGACAGCGCAGCAGAGAGGAGCAGCUGCAGCGCCCGCUCCCGGCUCCACCCUGCUUGGCAGAUGAAGCAUUUCCUGCCCCACGUUUCAGUAUUUCAUCCGUAAAAUGGCACUAAUGAAUUUGAAAUACUUGGAGUAUUUUGAGUUCCGCUGGCAAAAAAUGCAUGGUAAAACGACAUGUCGUUUUCAUCUGUCAUUUCCUGUCACUGUAACUUAAUGCGGGCUCGGCCAACGGAGAGGGAAAUUGAGACAGGGGCACUGUUUCAUUAAAUAUUAAAUAAAUGGGAUUCAAGUGGUUUAUUCUGGUUCAAGAGCCCGUAAAGCAAAACAAAAAAAAAGCAAAGCUGUGCUCUGCCAUACUGAGCAAACGACUCAUUUGGAAGAACACACUUAAAAAAACCUGAGUUAUGUACUUCUUAGGUAAUUCCUGGAGCUCAGAGCACAGAUAUACCAUAUUCGUUGCCUUAAUUCCUUCUCUGAAUGUUUUUCUUCUAAAUACAGUCCUGUACUUGGUGAAAGUAGGCAGCUCAUUAGUUAACUCUGUUAUUGUUCCCGAGCAAGAGAGCAAAUUUGCUUGUGGUAAAUGAAACUCAGAAUAAUGACAGUGAAUUGCAAAGCGGCUGCCACUCUAAAGCCCUCAGCUGAUGUUUUCUCUGCUAGAGAAGGGGACUGGCUGAACACUGAUGCUGGCCAUGAGCAAAGCUGGGCUACAGUCAGCCCCAGCGCAGUGCCUGUGACGAUCGGUGUGAUGCUGGCUCUACUCCAUAUCUGUUUGGUUUGGUUUUGUUGUUGUUGUUGUUUUCCCUGAAAGGCAUCAUUGUAAUGUGUCCUUGCAUGGUAACGCCUCACCCUGCUCAUCCUGCACUGGUCACGAUGCUCCAGCAAUCAUGCAAAAGAUUGACACAACUACAUGGCACUCUAGGAACAGCCAAAAGGCAAAUUGUGAUUCAGAAUAAAACUACCCUAGGGUAAGGAAGAGCCUGUACAUUUUUCUUACAGGAUAUGCCUUAUUUCAGCAAGCCUUUAAACUGCUUCAUCUCCACUGGCGAAAACAGCUGCUGCCUUCAGUGCUUCCCUGGAUGGCUGCAACCCUGUGACACCAGUGCUAUGCAGGGCCUGGGGGUAGGGGCCUGGCGUUACUAUUUCCCUGGCCCCCAGUGAACCUUUGCCUGCUCAUUCUGUUUGCAUUUCCUUACAGGUCUUCCCUAUCUCAUGCUCAUCGCGUGCUCUGGCAGCGUGCCGAGGGGUGGUGCUCACUGCAACAGCCAGCGUGAUGGCUGAUGGCAGUGCCAUGGGGUCAUCAAAGCCGGCUCCCUCUGGACACACAGUGUGGGGAGGUAACUGUGGCAUUCAAGCGGCCAACCUGAUUGUCAUGUUCCUCCCUCCUGGGCAAUGUGGUCCCUGAGUCACUGCCGGGCCAUCUCAGUGGCAGGCUGCUGUCUGAACAUGACCGAGCUCCAUCCUCCCAGUCCCAACACAUGCAAGAAGAGUAAAUGAAAUACAAAGAACAGAGAGGCAGAAAUGAAUGAGUUCUGGCCCAAAUUGUAAACUCCCUCAGUGUGGAAGACUCAAGGAGAGAAGCAAGAGUGGCAGAGCAGUGAGGAUAAAAGACGGUAGCAGAAGUGAUAUCUUCCUGUACAGACAGAACAGCCACAACUGUUAAUGGGAUUCCACAAGAAAACUGUAUGAUGUCUUAGAGGCUUCCCAGUGCCUUCCCGGCCACUGCUGAGAGCUCCCUACACAUACUGUCUGUUGGGAAGGAAAAAUCAAAAGGAGGCUCUCUCUUCAGUGUAAAGAACAAAUUGCUUUAAAAGACACGUUGCCAUGUGUGUGCCGGUGGGCAGCCCUGUUCUCUGCCAGUGCACAACAGAACUGGCAUCACUACAGCUGGAGGACUUGUGUAAGACCUUCAUGCCUAUGGUGGCCUGCAGAUGCACGGCCCUGCCUCGCUGGUCGUAAGGCCCUGGUCUAAGCGACUGUGGCAUUGCGAGCUGAAACUGCACCUGUGAGGAACUGGCCUCCCAUCACAUCGCAUCACAUCAAAGAAGAGCUGCGGGCGCUCUCUUGCUGCGCUCCUCAGAGCUGAGGCAAUGCUCAGAGAUCAGUGCUUAAGUAGGGUGUAUUCCUUCUAGGGGUGGUUGUGGUGGAGAGGCAUGGCUGCAGAGCGCUACAUCUGUUCAUGCGGAAAUGGAAAGAAUGCUUUGGCUUUCCUACUUACAAGCAAAUGCUGGCUGUUUAUAGAGGACAGGUGGCAAAGUCCAAAUUAACAAAUAGACAGAAAGCAUUAUGAUGGCAAACAAAUGAAAUAAAACCAAAUAACUUUCUUAGCACAUGUCCCCUGUACACUCCAGCCACUUUUCCAGGCUUUAACACAAUAUCUAGUGGUUAAAUACCUUGACAGUUUUCUCUGGAAAAGGGAGGAGGACUUUUUUAUCACAAGGCGAGAACCCACGAACCGUUUCCCCAUGUGACUCACUGUGAAGGCAUGCCAAUUCUGGCUACUCACACUUAAAUUUUCCAGAGUCCACUCACUCAAGAGAAGACCGAGGCCUAUUUCUGCUAGCUUUAACCCUGCCUUGGUUUCCAUUUUAUGGCUGCUCACCUGUGUGAGGAAGAAAUAAAGAAAGUGCUUCUCCCAGCUCACAGAGGCUGAAUUCCUAACCCUACUGUUUGUUCCCCUGUUCUUUCUUUGAGGAAAUGCUAUGAGUAGGUCAUGACCUUUUGUAUCCUAAUGCAAAAAAUAGAUUUCAACUGUCAUUUAAACAGAGCUAAGAAGAGGGAAUGGUAACCGUGCAGGAGAGGUCUGACAAUGGGUAAUUCAACAGGAAGGCACGAGCAUGCUGUGAUCAUUGUAUUAUACAGUGGGUUUUUAUCACUUAUUCUGGGAUUUACAACGGCUGAUCAUGAUUCUUUUUGUCCCUUCUGGUAUGUGUCCUGAUGGCCACAGAAAUCUGUUUUGCUUAUCUUUGAGGCUGGUUAUAUUUAGACUUCAGAGCUGGCAUGCUCAUGACAUGGCCCAGUCCCAAAGCCACCAGCUAUCUGUACUGGAACUGGGGCUGGGACAGACUGCAUGCCUGAUGGUCUGUGCAUCCAUCAGUCCUUUUGUGUGGAGUCUAAGUGCCUACACUGCCCUGGCAAGGAGUCAGGGCAUGGCCAGGAUACAUUUGUGGACCAAAGUUCGUGCACAUCUGGGACCCAUGGUUUAGAUGUAGCCAAAGCCUAACUUUGAGGAGAGGGGUUACCUUGGAUGGGAGCAAUAUUAUAGUAACAUCUGCCCACUGUCUGCUGCACAAGACGUCUCUCAGAGCAUGCCAUCCAGCGAACUUCAUUUCAUAGAGUUUCUUCUAGAAACUACUUCAUCUGACUGUAGUUAAUGUAGUUAAACAAAAGCUAAAUGAAAAUGAAUGCCCAUAUAAGCAGCUGGCUCUGGACAACCCUGUGACAGAUACUUGAGAAGUGCCCGUUAGUUACAGGAAAGUAUUUCUCCUUGAGAUGUUCUGCGUAUGUGUCAGCUGAUGAAAAUCCUGCCUGUAUUUCUGUAGCCACAGGUGAUUAGGAAUUGCUCCCACAGCGUAAUUCAAACCUACCAGGCUUCUCCCAGGGCACGUCGGGUGAGCAGAGAGAGACCUUUGUGUGUUUGAUUGUAUACGACUGAACAAGAUCUGCUUCACUUGUGCUUUAUCAGGGCUAUAAAACUUGGGUCUGUGUAGACAGCAUAAGGUAAACUUAAACUACAAGUCAGGUUCCACGUUGCUGUUUCCUGAAUUGCGAAAGACAGCAGUCUCUCACUUACACUGAGCUCUGGGUAGGCACGGACUUCUUGGAGACAAACAGGAACCUCCAAACAAUGCAAGUGGCUGAGGCUCCAGUGGUGUUCAAAGAACAGUCUUCCCUCUUCAAGGCUCCUGCUGUGCCCCCAGACCACCACUAUGCAUCAGAAAAAGGAGGUAUUCUGUUCUUUGUUUUAUAUAGGAGACUGGAGAUUACAAUGCAGAGAAAUGAAGUAACUUGAAGACUACAAAACAGGUCAUUGGCAGAGCUCAGAAUGAAGCUUAGCUCCCCUUCUCCACAUGCCCUUACAACUUUGUGUACCUAACAAGACACAGCUUCAAACCCAUCGUUUUUGAACUUUCACAGUAAAGAAGCAGUUCUUCUA
Molecule: long non-coding RNA, 4725 nt
Organism: Gallus gallus (chicken)
Lineage: Eukaryota; Metazoa; Chordata; Aves; Galliformes; Phasianidae
Exons: 3
Source: RefSeq, a predicted model, not a curated record